RNAcentral lists this ribosomal RNA (253 nucleotides) under uncultured bacterium. RNAcentral's name for it is "partial 16S ribosomal RNA". It matches the Rfam family "Bacterial small subunit ribosomal RNA", at positions 524 to 776 of the family's 1533-position model. The record is from RNAcentral.
UACGUAGGGUGCGAGCGUUAUUCGGAAUUACUGGGCGUAAAGCGUGCGCAGGCGGUGAUGUAAGACAGGUGUGAAAUCCCCGGGCUUAACCUGGGAACUGCAUUUGUGACUGCAUCGCUGGAGUGCGGCAGAGGGGGAUGGAAUUCCGCGUGUAGCAGUGAAAUGCGUAGAUAUGCGGAGGAACACCGAUGGCGAAGGCAGCCCCCUGGGCCGACACUGACGCUCAUGCACGAAAGCGUGGGGAGCAAACGGG